Molecule: long non-coding RNA, 516 nt
Organism: Acanthopagrus latus (yellowfin seabream)
Lineage: Eukaryota; Metazoa; Chordata; Actinopteri; Spariformes; Sparidae
Exons: 3
Source: RefSeq, a predicted model, not a curated record
GCUGGUCGUCUCUCCCCGUGCUCCCAGCAGCCAGGCAGGGAUGGAGCUGCUUUAUUAUGGAGCAGCCGCCGCUGUCCACGGUGCUGAUCUCCCGCUGCUGACGUGUCCGCUGCGGCCACAUGCAGGAGGAGCCCGCGAAAACGCUGAGAAGAAUCUAGAUCCGGAUACAGACCCAAUGAAGCUGCACUGGUUUGUCCCCAACAAUCCAGUUCAAUCCUGUUCCCUGUGACAGCAGAGACUCCUGGUAUUCAUGCAGGAUGUAGCUGGAUGUAGCAGCUGUAAAAAAAAAAAAACAUAUGGGAAAAGAGAGAGACAGAACGAUGAGGAGGAAGGAGAGCAGAUAAAGGUUUGCAGUGUGGACUCUCACCUCUGUGAAACUGAAGAAGAGUCCGACGCCCCCGAGGAUCUUCAGAGCCUCUGUUGCAUGAUUCAGCAUCAUAUCCCCGCAGGUGUAACAGAAACCUUUCUUUUUGCAUAACUGGAGUGAAAGACACAAAUAAAGAAGAAAGGCCUUUA